GUCCUGUUGACGAGUCCAAAACAGGACGAAACAGCUGUCCAGUGC
RNAcentral lists this non-coding RNA (45 nucleotides) under Echinostoma caproni. Lineage: Eukaryota; Metazoa; Platyhelminthes; Trematoda; Plagiorchiida; Echinostomatidae. The record is from RNAcentral.